Molecule: long non-coding RNA, 409 nt
Filed under: Heterocephalus glaber (naked mole-rat)
Lineage: Eukaryota; Metazoa; Chordata; Mammalia; Rodentia; Bathyergidae
Description: lncRNA (ENSHGLG00100046744.1)
Source: RNAcentral
GCUGCCUCUAAGUUCCCAGAAAACAACUUAGGCAGCUGUUAGCAUCAUGAUCCACAUGGCAGAGGUGCUAUUUUAGCAAAGCUAAUGAACUUUCCAACUGAGGGAACUUUUCUGGGAAAGAGAGCAGCUCAAGGUGCUUGUGGCAAGAUAUUAGCAUAUACUGCCCCAGGCAAAGACAUCUCUGGGAUGCUCCAUCUGUUUUGGCAAGUUCUCUUAUGACCCCCACCCCCUCUCCUCAUCACGGGGGAGCCUUCUUUCAGGGCCUGACCACCAGGCUGUGAGAAGCCCAAUCCACAUGGACAGGCCACGUGGGGGUGCUCUGGCCAGUCGUCAGCCAUCUCAGCCCAGGUCCCGGUCAUGGGAGUGCACAAACCACCUUGGAAGCUCCAGGUAUCGUGGUGGACAGAAG